AUGCUGGGGCCUCGCCGGCGCUGAGGAGCGUCGCCUGCUCGCAGUGCUCCGCGGCCUCCUGGGCCCGUCGCCCGCCUUUCCGCACGCAUCGCACCCGGCCGCCGCCUCUUCCUCCGUCGGGCCCCGGGCCUCUGCGCAGACAACAUGGAGGCCGUGAAGACCUUCAACAGCGAGGUUCGUACCGCAACCCGGCCUCCCCGCCAGGCUCGGCCCGGCCCGGCCCGGGGCUCGCGAGCCGAGCAAGGGCGCGGGCCGCAAGCAGCCUCCCCCGGGUGGGGCGACGGCGGCCGGGCGGCCGUGGGGGAGGGGAACGGCCCGCGCCCCUCCCGGGGCCGGGCAGGGCUGAGGGAAGGCAGGGGGAGGGCCGGUCCCCAAGGCGGCCGCGCCACGCUCCCGGGUGGGUUCCACCGAGGACUAUCACCUCCCACCCCCCACCUCGCGCACGGCCCGUGGCCUGGCAGGGUCUGAACUGUUUGCAGGACAUCACUCUGCAGGCCCUCCCCGGUGGUGACUGAGGAAGCUGACACACGGAUGCGAGGCCCUGGAGAGGACCCACGGUGUGGUGAUCCAUGGUCACGUUACACGUAGUGUUUAUUAUUGAGGUUCUGUUGACUAGGUGACUUGGCAGCCAGGGACUUCGCUAAUUGGAUGGUUGGUAGCAGGCAAAUUUAUUCUGCGAUCUCCCCCCCCUCCUUUUUUUUUUUUCUUUUUUAAUUUCUGCUUGCCCUUCUGAUCAUCAGUUAGGGAGGAAAAGACACAAGUGCUCGGGAGAGUGUGUGCACUCAGAGGGGGUUAGAAGCUUGGAGAAUCAUUUGCCAGGGCCUCAUUCACAUGUCAGGCCAAGCAGAUUUUUAAUUUUCUUUUUUUAAUGCAGGUGUCCAAUUUUUACUCUUUGCUGGGUUUACUGAUCUGAUUGGAAGGCAGGCUUCGACAAAAUAAAUUCGAUUUCUUCUUAAGGAAUAAUAGCAAUUCGGACAUUAAAUGUAGCAAAUUCCGGCUCAGCUCAGCAUUAUCUACUUGUACCUUUUAGAAACAUAAUUAAAUGUAUGCUAAUUAGCAUAGUUUUCAGAACUUUUGAUUUGGGGAUGUUAAUGCUCAGUAAUAUGACAUUUAAUGUCUUAAGUACAUGAGUUUUUAAAAUAGCAUCUGUGGCUGCCCAAAUGGGACAGUGCUCUUAAAUGCCUUUCUGCAAUUUCAUCGUAAUUUUUGUUUGUUUGUUUAUUUAUGGUAGGUAGCCUUGGGAAAGGCUGCAAAAAGGGUUGUUGAAAGUUAGAUCAAGUUCUUGAAUAUGCGUCUUACUUUAAGUAGUGGUGACCUUCCUGAUACUGAGAGCAAUACAUUUGGAAAUCUUGUGAAUUUAUAACUGAUAAUAUGGGCAGUUAUCCUCUUAUGAAACUUAAUUCUCUCUCCCAAUGAUAUAUAUUUAGAAUAUGGAAUAAAAGGAAUUUAGUGAUACUGUAAAUAACUUUUUUUUUGGUUUUUUGACACAGGGUUUCUCUGUGUAGCCCUGGCUAUCUUCGAACUCACUUUGUAGACCAGGCUGGUCUCGAACUCAGAAAUCCGCCUGCCUCUGCCUCCCGAGUGCUGGGAUUAAAGGCGUGCGCCACCACUGCCUGGUUCCUGUAAAUAAGUUUUUAGUAUGUUGUUAACUAUAUAAGAAAACAGCCAAGUUGCUUUUUAAUUUGCUGCAUACAGCACUAAUAAUGAAGUUCUUUAGUUACAAAAAAAAGGUCCCUUCUUAUGUGGGCUUGGUGGUGAAUGCCUUUGAUGAUGCUAGUACUCUGAGAGGCAGAGGAAGAUGGGUCUCUCGGAGUUCACGGCCAUAUGUACAUGUAUAUGAGUGUACAUAUAGAGUUCCAGGACAGCUAGGACUGUAAUUUCUCUCUUAAAAUAGCAACAACAGCAAAACCUCACUUAUUUCCAAAUUACCGAAUUUAACCCUCUUCCACUGUUGUACUGGCUAGUUUUGUGUCACCUUGACAUAGGCUGGAGUGACACAGAGAAAGGAGAUUCAGUUGGGAAAGUGCCUCCAUGAGAUCCAGCUGUAAGGCAUUUUCUCAAUUAGUGAUCAAGGGUUUCAGGCCCCUUGUGGGUGGUGCCAUCUCUGGCUGGUAGUCUUGGGUUCUAUAAGAGAGCAGGCUGAGCAAGCCAGGGGAAGCAAGCCAGUAAAGAACAUCCCUCCAUGGCCUCUGCAUCAGCUCCUGCUUCCUGACCUGCUUGAGUUCCAGUCCUGACUUCCUUGGUGAUGAACAGCAGUGUGGAAGUGUAAGCUGAAUAAACCCUUUCCUCCCCAACUUGCUUCUUGGUCAUGAUGUUUGUGCAGGAAUAGAAACCCUGACUAAAGCCAGGCGGUGGUGGCACACGCCUUUAGUCCUAGCACUCCGGACAGAGGCAGGCAGAUUUCUGAGUUCAAGGCCAGCCUGGUCUACAACGUGAGUUCCAGGACAGCCAGGGCUAUACAGAGAAACCUUGUCUUGAAAAGACC
RNAcentral lists this long non-coding RNA (2485 nucleotides) under Mus musculus (house mouse). Its description in RNAcentral is "long non-coding RNA chr17:3115244-3117729". The record is from RNAcentral. Lineage: Eukaryota; Metazoa; Chordata; Mammalia; Rodentia; Muridae.